GACGAACGCUGGCGGCGUGCCUAAUACAUGCAAGUUGAGCGCUGAAGGUUGGUACUUGUACCAACUGGAUGAGCAGCGAACGGGUGAGUAACGCGUGGGGAAUCUGCCUUUGAGCGGGGGACAACAUUUGGAAACGAAUGCUAAUACCGCAUAAAAACUUUAAACACAAGUUUUAAGUUUGAAAGAUGCAAUUGCAUCACUCAAAGAUGAUCCCGCGUUGUAUUAGCUAGUUGGUGAGGUAAAGGCUCACCAAGGCGAUGAUACAUAGCCGACCUGAGAGGGGGAUCGGCCACAUUGGGACGGAGACACGGCCCAAACUCCUACGGGAGGCAGCAGUAGGGAAUCUUCGGCAAUGGACGAAAGUCUGACCGAGCAACGCCGCGUGAGUGAAGAAGGUUUUCGGAUCGUAAAACUCUGUUGGUAGAGAAGAACGUUGGUGAGAGUGGAAAGCUCAUCAAGUGACGGUAACUACCCAGAAAGGGACGGCUAACUACGUG
This 497-nucleotide ribosomal RNA is filed under the name uncultured bacterium. RNAcentral's name for it is "partial 16S ribosomal RNA". It matches the Rfam family "Bacterial small subunit ribosomal RNA", at positions 28 to 507 of the family's 1533-position model. The record is from RNAcentral.